Molecule: ribosomal RNA, 484 nt
Filed under: uncultured bacterium
Lineage: Bacteria
Description: bacterial SSU rRNA
Rfam family: Bacterial small subunit ribosomal RNA
Source: RNAcentral
AUUGAACGCUGGCGGCAUGCUUUACACAUGCAAGUCGAACGGUAACAGGGAGCUUGCUCCGCUGACGAGUGGCGAACGGGUGAGUAAUGCAUCGGAACGUGCCGUGUAGUGGGGGAUAACGUAGCGAAAGUUACGCUAAUACCGCAUACGCCCUGAGGGGGAAAGUGGGGGACCGCAAGGCCUCACGCUAUACGAGCGGCCGAUGUCGGAUUAGCUAGUUGGUAGGGUAAAGGCCUACCAAGGCGACGAUCCGUAGCGGGUCUGAGAGGAUGAUCCGCCACACUGGGACUGAGACACGGCCCAGACUCCUACGGGAGGCAGCAGUGGGGAAUUUUGGACAAUGGGCGCAAGCCUGAUCCAGCCAUGCCGCGUGAGUGAAGAAGGCCUUCGGGUUGUAAAGCUCUUUCAGACGGAAAGAAAUCGGUGUGUCUAAUACACGCACUGGAUGACGGUACCGUAAGAAGAAGCACCGGCUAACUACGUG